This 460-nucleotide ribosomal RNA is filed under the name uncultured bacterium. RNAcentral's name for it is "partial 16S ribosomal RNA". It matches the Rfam family "Bacterial small subunit ribosomal RNA", at positions 338 to 795 of the family's 1533-position model. The record is from RNAcentral.
CCUACGGGAGGCAGCAGUGAGGAAUAUUGGUCAAUGGACGAGAGUCUGAACCAGCCAAGUAGCGUGAAGGAUGACUGCCCUAUGGGUUGUAAACUUCUUUUAUAUGGGAAUAAAACGUUCCACGUGUGGGAUUUUGUAUGUACCAUAUGAAUAAGGAUCGGCUAACUCCGUGCCAGCAGCCGCGGUAAUACGGAGGAUCCGAGCGUUAUCCGGUUUUAUUGGGUUUAAAGGGAGCGUAGGUGGAUUGUUAAGUCAGUUGUGAAAGUUUGCGGCUCAACCGUAAAAUUGCAGUUGAAACUGGCAGUCUUGAGUACAGUAGAGGUGGGCGGAAUUCGUGGUGUAGCGGUGAAAUGCUUAGAUAUCACGAAGAACUCCGAUUGCGAAGGCAGUUCACUGGACUGCAACUGACACUGAGGCUCGAAAGUGUGGGUAUCAAACAGGAUUAGAUACCCUAGUAGUC